This 69-nucleotide transfer RNA is filed under the name Pelobates cultripes (western spadefoot toad). RNAcentral's name for it is "transfer RNA-Pro". It matches the Rfam family "tRNA". From Rfam's summary of the family: Transfer RNA (tRNA) molecules are approximately 80 nucleotides in length. Their secondary structure includes four short double-helical elements and three loops (D, anti-codon, and T loops). The record is from RNAcentral. Lineage: Eukaryota; Metazoa; Chordata; Amphibia; Anura; Pelobatidae.
CGGGACUUAAUUUAAGUAGAAUGCUGGCUUUGGGGGUCAGUAGUGGGGGUUAGAUUCCCUCAGUCUCGA